CGUGUAGGCGGUUUGGCAAGUCGAGUGUGAAAUCCCACGGCUCAACCGUGGAACUGCGCUCGAAACUGUCUUACUUGAGUGCGGGAGAGGUGUGCGGAAUUCCUGGUGUAGCGGUGGAAUGCGUAGAUAUCAGGAAGAACACCGGUGGCGAAGGCGGCACACUGGCCCAGCACUGACGCUGAGGCGCGAAAGCGUGGGGAGCGAACG
Molecule: ribosomal RNA, 207 nt
Filed under: uncultured bacterium
Lineage: Bacteria
Description: partial 16S ribosomal RNA
Rfam family: Bacterial small subunit ribosomal RNA
Source: RNAcentral